UCGGGAAUUUUGGGCAAUGGGCGAAAGCCUGACCCAGCAACGCCGCGUGAGGGAUGAAGUAUUUCGGUAUGUAAACCUCGAAAGAAUGGGAAGAAUAAAUGACGGUACCAUUUAUAAGCUCCGGCUAACUACGUGCCAGCAGCCGCGGUAAUACGUAGGGAGCAAGCGUUGUUCGGAUUUACCGGGCGUAAAGGGCGCGUAGGCGGCGCGGUAAGUCACUUGUGAAAUCUCUGAGCUUAACUCAGAACGGCCAAGUGAUACUGCUGUGCUAGAGUGCGGAAGAGGCAACCGGAAUUCUUGGUGUAGCGGUGAAAUGCGUAGAUAUCAAGAGGAACACCUGAGGCGAAGGCGGGUUGCUGGGCCGACACUGACGCUGAUGCGCGAAAGCCAGGGGAGCAAACG
This 402-nucleotide ribosomal RNA is filed under the name uncultured bacterium. Its description in RNAcentral is "bacterial SSU rRNA". It matches the Rfam family "Bacterial small subunit ribosomal RNA", at positions 355 to 774 of the family's 1533-position model. The record is from RNAcentral.